UGUAAAAAAUAUCCGUAAAUUAACAGCUGAUUAACUGUAUAUUUUAACAGAAAUUGUCCGUAGUAUGUGAUUCACAGGUGUUUCUCCGUUUAUUUACAUUUUCGAAUUGCAUUAUGGGAUUGAGCUCAGCCUCGACGAUUUUUAGUGGCUGCAACAAAGUCAUGGACAGCAAAAAUGUCAGCUUUUUCAUUGCGGGAGUUUGGUGUAUGAAGGAGUUAACGUCCCCUCCCCCUCGCUGCUGCGCCACUCUGUGUUUCAUAUGCGUAACUGCGGCUUCACUUUGCGUGUCUGAGGGCCACUGAAGUAGCAUCUGGUGGGUCUAUACUGGAAACAACAUACACUGCUAGUGAACAAGUU
Misgurnus anguillicaudatus (oriental weatherfish) is the source of this 357-nucleotide non-coding RNA. NCBI's taxonomy places the organism in Eukaryota, Metazoa, Chordata, Actinopteri, Cypriniformes, Cobitidae. The record is from RefSeq and is a predicted model, not a curated record.